This 4876-nucleotide long non-coding RNA is filed under the name Lathyrus oleraceus (garden pea). RNAcentral's name for it is "Pisum sativum (pea) long non-coding RNA (PSAT_LNC004169)". Lineage: Eukaryota; Viridiplantae; Streptophyta; Magnoliopsida; Fabales; Fabaceae. The record is from RNAcentral.
AAAAGGCCCAGAGCCAAAGGGAUCCGAGUCAUCAAAAGCAGGAAAACCAUGAUCAUAAUCCACACUGUUGCGGACAGAAUCAAAUCGGACCGGUGUUUCCCGAGCAGGUAAAGAUGCACUAUCAUGUGUGCUAAAUGAAUCAAAUCGGACUGGUGCUUCCCGGGCAGGUAAAGACGCACUAUCAUGUGUGCUAAAUGAAUCAAAUCUUGAAAAAUCAAAAGCGUUUUCCAACCAGUCUUUAGGCUUUUGUGGGGAGCUACCCGAGCUGAAAAGUGGGGUGCUUGGAACAGAAUCAUCAAAACUGAACCCACUUGUCUUCUGGAAAGGACCACCAGCCUGUGCUGACGCUGUUUUAAUGGGGUUAAGGCCCAGGUCUCCAGAACCAAAGAAAUAGUUGUCUCCGGCUCCAUCAAGAUCUUUCUCCUGUAAUAAAAAGUAAAAACAAAUGUCCAAAAGCAAUCAGUAAGAAUAUAUAAGGAUGACAUCUAACCCUAUGAGUUUGAUACUAAGAAACAGUCAUAAAAUCUUAUUAAAGCUAUAAAUUCAUAAUAACCAAAUGACCAUGAUUUGCAUCAGUCAUAAGUAUUGUGUAACUAUCGAAAUCUCCAGAACCUCCAAGUCAUAUUCUCCACAGACACAUGGAAACUAAUAUCAAACAAUAAAAUUUAAUAGUAAUUACAAUGAGUUUCCAAGAAAUUCGAGAGUCUUGGUUCUCUCCCUUCCAAGAAUUUGAGAGCUUGGUCUCUCCCUCCCAAACAUAACCUCUUUCUAAUUUACAGCCUCACCAGACCAUGGUUUUGUUUUCCUUUUUAUUCUACCUAAGUUUUGUAACUGCUCCUAAUAAUAAUAAUUGUUACUCUAAUAAUACUAAUGGCUACAGAUAACAUUUAAUCAAAGUUGUUAGAUCAAGAUCUUACAUAAAAUCGGAAGAGUAUAUCAAAAUUGUAAAAUAUAAAAUCGUAAUUAAGAUCGCAAGAUUCUACUCACUUAUUUUUAUAGAAUCGAUAGGGUAUAACAAAACCGUAAAACAUAAAAUCGUAAGAUUUUACCAAAAUAAUAUAUAUAUAUAUAUAUAUAUAUAUAUAUAUGAUAUAUUAUAUAUAUAUAUAUAAUUAAAAAGAAAAGAAAAGAAAGGAUAUAAAAAUAAUAUGAAAAUAAAACAAAAAAAAGGAAAAGAAAUAGUAGUUAUUAAAAUUUCAAAACAAAAAAUAAUUUAAAAAAGGAGAUAUGUGUGGUGGCAUGUUUGCAAUGUCGUGUCAGUCACAAUGCCACAAUGCAUAAGAGAAAGGUUAAUUUGUGAAUAAAGCCAAUUCAAGUCACCUUUUAAAGGCUGACCUAUCACGUGACUCUAAAAUACUUUUUUUUUUCAAAAACAAAAGCAAAAAGCAAAACAAAAACGAACAUGAAGAAUAAAUCUAAAGAUGAAUGUUUCAGAAGGUAAAACUGAAAACGUAGAUAAACGUAAAUGAAAUGGACAAUGAAAAAUGCAGGUGUAGACAAAAAUGAAGCUCAGAUUCAUUUCAUAUUUCUAAAAAUUGUCUGAUUUCAGAAUCGGGUUGCAAACCGGGUCAAGUUGAUCCAGGUAAUUAAAGCUCAGGAUACUGCAAUAUUUCUAAAAAUAGUCAGAUUUCACAAUAUGUUUACCAAAACCGAGAUUUUUGCCGCAAUUUUCGCUAUUGUAAGAUCUUGAUUGCAAUCCAGAUCGGUGGAGGUGGUUGAGAUCGCAAAAUCGUGCGAUUCCACGAUCCGGAACGCGAUUUUGAUAACAUUGUAUUUAAUAAGGCUGCUCAUAUGCUUGUCACUAACAGAAUAGAACAGCCACAUUCUGUUUUCAUUCCAAGUAAUUCCUAAGGUCUAACAAUACUCCCCCCUAAACUAUCACCUUGUCCUCAAGAUGAAAGAAAAUACACAGGAGAAAAAAUAUAUCCUCCCGGAUCCCAUAACUUGAAGCAGAAGGAUUGAGUUGUACAUGAAAUAUAAAAAACUCCUCCCGGAUCAAAUUGUCUUGCUACCAGCAGCCCUCCGGUGAAUGGUUGCUGGGGCGAUGGCGAUAUCGGCAAUGGAACUUUCUCGUUACCAGACUUUAUCUUAGGAAUAUCAGUAAACACCACUGUGUCGAUGUAAACACCACUGUGCCGAUGUAAACACCACUGUGCUGAUGUAAACACCACUGUGCCGAUGUCGGGUGAUUUUAACAAUGGAGAUUGUUGAUCUAAACAUUCCGGUAGUGUCCUCUCAUUUGAUUCUUCAUCCUCUAUUGAUUCGGUUUUUGACCCAAAUUUCUUGAAAACUGCAUCUUUAAAAUUUCCCCAAGUGGAACUUGGUACCAUGCGAGGACUUUACCACUCAUCCACUGUGCAAUUUUUGGUAUUUGAUCUUCUUCUUUACAUACACCUCCUGCAUCAAAAUAUUUUUCAACCUUGAUCAUCCAUCCAACAACAUCCCUUUCUUCAACGAUUGGUAUUUCUAAUCGUAACUCUGAGUUCUCUUCUCCAAUCUCUAAUUUCUUUCAACACUUCAUCAACAAGGUCAAACAUUCCUUCAAUUCUUGAUGACAACUCCAUUUUUUCUCUGUUUUUUUUAUAUUUCCUCUCCCGGAUCAGAAGUGCUCCGAUACCAGUUGAUAGAAACUAAUAUCAAACCAUAAAAUUUAAUAGUAAUUACAACGAGUUUCCAAGAAAUUCGAGAAUCUUGAUUUUCUCCCUUCCAAGAAUUCGAGAGCUUGGUCUCUCCCUCCCAAAUAUAACUUCUUUCUAAUUUUCAGCCUCCCCAGAACACGGUUUUGUUUCCCUUUUUAUUCUACCUAAGUUUUGUAACUGCUCCUAAUAAUAAUAAAUGUUACUCUAAUAAUACUAAUGGCUGCUCUUAGACUCUCUAACUGCUACAAAUAACAUUUAAUAAGGCUGAUCCAUCCUCAUCUGUCUAGAAAAAUCCUAUGAUAUAAGGUACCACAAGAAGUCAGAAGGGCUCUAAUGAUUGAGGAGUACAUAUAGCCCAUGAUAAAAUAAAACUACAAAGGAUAUGUAGUUAAGGGAAGGAUUUAUACUAACGGAGGUAUCAACUAUUGGAGAUAUAAUAUAUAAAUAGAUUUGCACUAAGGGCCAAAAGCCAAUGCCUCAAUGAAUAUUCUCAAAUGGCAAUGUAGUCCUAAUUGAUGAUUCAAGAGAAGGAAUAAUCAAUUAAAAAGUCGAAUUGAGGAAAACUGACUAUGCAAUGAUAUAUGAUCAAAGGUUUUUCUAUCUCUAGAAUUCAUAUUUUGAGGUGAUUUAUUCAGUUUCAAGCCACAAAAUAAUGUUUAUUAGGAGAAGUUUAGUUUAGCUGAGCCUUGCUGUGUAUAUUUUGCAUCACUAAUCUUUUUCCUCAAUGUGCAUACUUCAGAUGGUGAGUUUUGUAUUGCUGUGUACAUUUUGCAUCAAUAAUCCCUUUUUCCCAAUAUGCAUACAUCUGAUGGUGGGUUUUGUAUUGAUGUGUGGUCUCAACUAUUGAGUUGACUUGAUACAAAACUGGUGAAAUCUCCGUAGUCUCAACUAUUGAGUUGACUUGAUACAAAAAUAUAACACAAACACAAGAUAGGUACAUACUUAGCAGUAGGACACACAAAAUAUAACAAAUUCAAAAUCGAUGAACAUGGUUCAAAAUUACUAAAAACAAAGGAUUGUGGGACUGCUUCCCUCCUUGGGGCUGGGAUUCAACUCGGAAGAGCUAGGUUCAUUCACCACAUUGGCGUGUUGAGUUCAUCGCUAACUUGUAAUGACGGGUUUAUUCUGAUUUUCUGGUUUGUGACUAUGUGGGGAGCUGAGGAGUUGACACUAAAUAACACAGCGGUCACCUAUGAGCUCGUAUUGGGAUAUCAGGUGCAUGCGAGGAAUUGAGUGCUGCACUGUGAGGUUAACAUUUUAUGCAGUACAGAUCCUUAUCAUGCAGCUGUUGCAUUUUGGAUUUUAGAAAAAUAAAAAACACAUUUUAGGAAAAAUAACCAUUAUGUUGUAGACUUGUUCAAUCAUCCACUAACCCAGAGUCCAUGUGAAUCCAACCAAGUUUGUAAAAACUAUAGUACAUGUGAGUUAUGCCAACUUGGAUAACUAGAGCCAUAAACUCAGGAAUGUAUAAAUCAAACUGAUAGUCAAACAACCAUGGCGUUGACUGUACGGAAUGGUGACCUAUUCCUAGUAAACAUCAGCACAGCCUUGCCUUUUGACCCAUAGCUAUGGAAUGUUUUGACUAACUCAUCUACAUGUGCAUCAUCCUAACCCUCUGACACAGCAUUGUCUCUAGCAGUGCUCUUUUUUCGCAAACUUUAUUUGAGAGCCCUUUAUUGGGAAGCCUAUUGAAAUUGUAUGUUUUGUAAUCUUAAGAGUUAUUAUGUUUUUACUUUUUUCUGUGUAGGUUUAUUUAUAACUAGCUUUUUCUUGACUAAAAUUGUAAUAAGCUGAGAUCUUAGUAAUCUUCAAUUUGAGGAAAGGUAUUAUACUUUUCAUAUUAUCACUUUUGGGUACGAAGUCUUAUCAUGUUGAGUAAAGGUACUAGUUUUGCAACAUUUCCUAGAAUACCGGUAUAUAUAGGUGUGCUAGACUAUCCAGUCAGUGUGAAAUGCAGUAAUUAAACUACCAACAUUAGCGAUGAAAAGUUAGAAUAUAGCAGUAGAAAUGCAGUAAUUAAACCACUAACAUUGACGAUGGAAAGUGAGAAUAUAGAAGGAGAAGUUUAGACAGAUGCAUCUUUCAAAAGAAGAAAGAAUUUUGCUGAAACAAUACAUUAAAGAUGAGAACUUGCAUACCCCAUGAGUGAUGCUACUGGCACUGAAUCCCCAAACUGAAUCAAUAUCAUCAUUUGCGUCAAAGGUUCCCCCCCAAUGAGAUUCAUCAAAAACUUUGUC